RNAcentral lists this long non-coding RNA (568 nucleotides) under Marmota monax (woodchuck). The record is from RNAcentral. Lineage: Eukaryota; Metazoa; Chordata; Mammalia; Rodentia; Sciuridae.
AUUAUAUUACACUUAUUUUGUAUUUUUACAUAUGUAAGUAUUAAUUUUCAUUUAUUCACUCAAUAAAUGAUUAUUAAGAGCUAAUUUUCUGCUUACAAGUAAAUAUUGGGUUAUAAAGUAUGAACAAAACAUACAAUAGCCUUGCCCUCCAGAAAUUAAAGUAUGUCAGGGAAGAUUGGCCCAACCUUAGAUAAACAUGUGUUAACCUUUUCUUAACGAUUUCUCCAUUAUUUUUAAAUUCAAAAAAACUCUCAGUACAGAAAUUUACAGAUAUUUCCUUUUCAUAUAGGUUGUUUUAAUAGUUUGAUUCCUUAAAUUUAACUCUUCAAUUACUGGAAUUUCUUAGAUGAAUGGUGGCAAAUGAAACUCUAAAUUAAGCUCUUUAUUAAGCAUCAAACUAAUUUAUUGAGUCAUCUUUCCCUUCUUUCAAGUCUUUAAUGCUUCUUUGAUCAUAUACUCUUAAUCUAAUUGGGUCUGUUUCUAGGCUAUCAAUUCUGUUCAGCUGAUCAUCUAAUUUUCUCUUCUAUGUUCCUUUUCUCUUAUUCUUUUGUUUAUAGUUAAUUUUAAC